This is a long non-coding RNA of Cyprinodon tularosa, 2237 nucleotides long. RefSeq lists it as uncharacterized. The record is from RefSeq and is a predicted model, not a curated record. The transcript has 2 exons. Lineage: Eukaryota; Metazoa; Chordata; Actinopteri; Cyprinodontiformes; Cyprinodontidae.
UGGUACUAUUGGGCGGCCCAGAUCAGAAACAUAAUGGGGUUUUUUUCUACAGAAAGUCCCCCAUCGUUGGUUAACAUGGAAUCAGCGGAAGUCACACAGGGUCUGACCUUAAAAAGGAGGAGUUGGCAGAGGGCCGCGGGGGAGAAGGAAGGUCGAACCUCAGCGCCGGGUUCCUCGUCUUCCACGUCUUCCACCACUGCAUCCAGUCACCAACCUCAGCUUCUCUAGGAGCUUCACGUUCUCCUUCUUUGAGCUACCGCUGCAUCAUUCCCCUCACUGCCGUGCUGAGCAUGUCAGGAACCUCCUCCAGCUUAUUAAGCAGAUACACUACUGACAACUCUUUUAAUGGGGCAGUUUUUGAUUUUUCUGUCAUCAGAGUUUAUCCUCUCUUUUCAGACAUGAUGAAAAGAGAGGAUAAACUCUGUUCUCUGAACUUUUAAAAUUCGGGUGCACUGUGUCGUCCUUUUAAAUGUCUUGCUUGGUUUUGGUUUCAGUUAAAAAUAGUCCACAGAUGGACCGAUUUAAUAGAUUAAACUGUUUAAAACUGCAGAUUCCUCUUUGUAUUAGUAUAUUUAGUUCUCCUUUACUCUCCUCACUUUUCUGUCUGUCUCUUUCACUCUCUCACCCACAUCACUUAAAGCAGAGUUGCUACCAUGCAGCCUUUCAGUAGCUCUGAAAGACUGCAGAAGGGGAGAGAAAGGGGCGGUAAAACGGCAUCAAUGUGCAGAGUUCAAGACUGUCUUUCUCAUUUGCUGAUUCACGUGUAACAGCUUGUGUAGCUCCGUGCGUGUUGACCACAUAACUGCACACUAUCAGUUAUAUGCGGUUAACCAACGGUACUGCAACUGUUUGCUUUUUGUCACAUUACAACUACAAACUUGCAUUACGGUUUGGGCUCAAUCAGAGAAGUGUCUGUUAUAAUCAUUUUUUUAAGUCAUCCCAUUGAUUCUUGCAUGUAUUUUGUCUAGACUUUGACUGGACCCUUUUGACUGAUAACUAUAUGCUUCCAUCCAAAUUAUUCUAUGUGGAAAGUUUAGGGUCAUUGUCCUCUAGGAAGGUGAACCUCAGUCUCAUGUCAUGCCUCCUAGAGAAGGUUUUAUUUCAAGACUAACCUUAUUUAACCUCUUCCAUAUUCCCAUCAACUCUGAUUAGCCUUUAUGCCCUAGCAAAAAUAAAAACAUUCCCAUAGUAAUGUAACGGAAAGGAUUUUGAAGAAAGGGUCUUUAAACUUCAUAUUUAAGGAUGUCUGUCCUCACCUUGGAAAAAAUAUAGAUACCCUUUAAUGAUCAUUCGAUACAAUGUAUUGAAUGUGUCCCUUUAAAUGAAAGCUGCUUUUCAUACCCUGGUUAUUUGUACUACGGAUACACGCACUUAAACACACAGAGGAGACGUGUGUCCAUAAGACGCACCCAGAUGGACAGAUGCCACACUGAUAAAGUGAUGAAUGAGUCAUUAUUAUAUAAUAAUCUGUUUUUAUCUCCAUAACCACCAAUGGGCUGAUACAACAGAUAUGCCCACCUGGUCCCCCAUUAGUCAUCAUUAUGUCCUGUGAUGGUGCCGGUGAUAAUUCAAUUUGUGUGGCCUUUGUUUUAGUCGGGGUGGAGAAAUUAGACUAAGUCUCAUGGUUUGUAAUUUAAAAUAAAAGAACCAUAAUAAACAAAAAUAAACUAUUGAAAAUUUGUCAAGUACCCAAAGGAAUGGCAAAAAGGUGUGAAUAUAAAGAGCGUAUGAAUAACCUUGUUGAUCUGUUUGCCCAGACAGCUGUAGCUGACAAUCACACAGACCUCUGAUUAGUUGAUAUUCUGUAUUAAUCUGAAAUGUCACAUCCAUUGUUUUUGGGCACCAUCCUGUCAGUACAGAUGGAUGGUCCAGGUGGUGGGAUGCCAACCGAGUGGGUCAGUAGAACUGGGUUAUUCUAUGUUUGACUUUUCACACAAAGAUCUUUUUUUUUUAUUGUUUGUGCUGUUUGGCUCAUAUUUGAUCACAUUUCAAACAGCUUAAUUUUUACCCACACAGUGACAAAUGUGUUACUUUUAGAAAGUUUUUGAGAAUAUAUUCAUUAAUUUAAUGAUUUGAUUUUUAUCUUUAUUUGUUAAAUACUACAGUGUCAUCAUCAUAUUAGCCCAGUUUAGAACUGAUCAUUUGUGAUUUUCCUCUGUUUGAAAAGUCAGUAGUGAAGUAAACACAUCUUACUUUUACAAACUGAAGUUUGUAAUAAAAUAAAAUGUUCUCAACAA